RNAcentral lists this non-coding RNA (159 nucleotides) under Paenirhizobium daejeonense. Its description in RNAcentral is "Rhizobium daejeonense 6S / SsrS RNA". It matches the Rfam family "6S / SsrS RNA". Rfam says of the family: E. coli 6S RNA was the first non coding RNA to be sequenced, but its function was unknown until recently. It consists of 184 nucleotides that fold into an extended hairpin structure with a large single-stranded internal bulge. The 6S RNA specifically associates with RNA polymerase holoenzyme containing the sigma70 specificity factor. RNAcentral also lists the same sequence under 2 other names. The record is from Rfam by way of RNAcentral. Lineage: Bacteria; Pseudomonadati; Pseudomonadota; Alphaproteobacteria; Hyphomicrobiales; Rhizobiaceae.
UGCGGUCUGCGGCUCUCGACAGGAACACACAAUCCCUGGGGCCAUACCCGAUCCAAAGGGAGCUGUCCCUGACCCGGCCCGUGGGCUUGGUCAUAUGGCGCCCACCUACGUUUGUAGGCACCCAGGAUCGUAACUCUCCAUCGGCUCCGUGGAUCGCAC